GGAUCAAUUUGUUGGUCGUGCCUCGGUACGUACUGGCAUUAUUGGUUUCUACCUUCUGAAGAACCUUGAUGUCAUUAAUUUGGUGUCUUGGGGAAUCAGGACUGUUACUUUGAAAAAAUUAGAGUGUUUAAAGCAGGCUCACGCUUGAAUACAUUAGCAUGGAAUAAUGAAAUAGGACGUUUGAUUCUAUUUUGUUGGUUUCUAGGAUCGACGUA
RNAcentral lists this ribosomal RNA (215 nucleotides) under uncultured Glomus. RNAcentral describes it as "partial small subunit ribosomal RNA". The stretch from base 46 to 215 matches the Rfam family "Eukaryotic small subunit ribosomal RNA", at positions 693 to 864 of the family's 1831-position model. The record is from RNAcentral. Lineage: Eukaryota; Fungi; Glomeromycota; Glomeromycetes; Glomerales; Glomeraceae.